Molecule: ribosomal RNA, 253 nt
Filed under: uncultured bacterium
Lineage: Bacteria
Description: partial 16S ribosomal RNA
Rfam family: Bacterial small subunit ribosomal RNA
Source: RNAcentral
UACGGAGGGUGCAAGCGUUGUCCGGAAUCACUGGGCGUAAAGCGCGUGUAGGCGGCUGAGUAAGUCUGCUCUGAAAGCCCGGGGCUCAACCCCGGGAGGCGGGUGGAUACUGCUCAGCUCGAGUCCGGAAGAGGAGUGUGGAAUUCCUGGUGUAGCGGUGAAAUGCGCAGAUAUCAGGAGGAACACCAAUGGCGAAGGCAGCACUCUGGGACGGUACUGACGCUGAGACGCGAAAGCGUGGGGAGCAAACAGG